This 253-nucleotide ribosomal RNA is filed under the name uncultured bacterium. RNAcentral describes it as "partial 16S ribosomal RNA". It matches the Rfam family "Bacterial small subunit ribosomal RNA", at positions 524 to 776 of the family's 1533-position model. The record is from RNAcentral.
UACAGAGGGUGCAAGCGUUAAUCGGAAUUACUGGGCGUAAAGGGCGCGUAGGCGGAAGACUAAGUUGUAUGUGAAAUCCCUGGGCUUAACCUAGGAACUGCAUAUAAGACUGGUUAACUGGAGUGCGGUAGAGGGUAGUGGAAUUUCCGGUGUAGCGGUGAAAUGCGUAGAUAUCGGAGGGAACACCAGUGGCGAAGGCGGCUACCUGGACUGACACUGACGCUGAGGCGCGAGAGCGUGGGGAGCAAACAGG